ACGCCCAACAGCUAGCCCACCUAAACAAUUUCAACAAACCCCUGUUAAUACCCCCUAAAUACCCUAGUAUUUAAAUUAAACAAACCAUUUUUCCCCCUUAGUAUAGGCGAUAGAAAGGGGACCACGGCGCAAUAGAGAAAGUACCGCAAGGGAACGCUGAAAGAGAAGUGAAAUAACCCAGUAAAGCCUGAAAAAGCAGAGAUUUAAACUCGUACCUUUUGCAUCAUGAUUUAGCGAGUGUACCUCAAGCAAAGAGCACUUUAGUUUGACGUCCCGAAACUACGUGAGCUACUCCAAGACAGCCUAUUAAUAGGGCGCACCCGUCUCUGUGGCAAAAGAGUGGGGAGAGCUUUGAGUAGAGGUGACAAACCUACCGAACC
Molecule: ribosomal RNA, 380 nt
Filed under: Gymnocanthus galeatus (armorhead sculpin)
Lineage: Eukaryota; Metazoa; Chordata; Actinopteri; Perciformes; Cottidae
Description: partial 16S ribosomal RNA
Rfam family: Bacterial large subunit ribosomal RNA
Source: RNAcentral